AAUCAACGCUGGCGGCGUGCUUAACACAUGCAAGUCGAACGCGGUUACUGCCUCUCCGCAAGGAGAGAUGGUGACUGAGUGGCGAACGGGUGAGUAACACGUGGGUGAUCUACCCCUGAGUGGGGGAUAACGUUCCGAAAGGAACGCUAAUACCGCAUGACGUUCUGGGUUUGAAGACCUGGAAACCAAAGCUGGGGCCCUUAGGGCAACUUAAGGCCUGGCGCUUGGAGAGGAACCCGCGCCUGAUUAGCUAGUUGGUGAGGUUACGGCUCACCAAGGCGACGAUCAGUAGCCGGCCUGAGAGGGCGGACGGCCACACUGGGACUGAGACACGGCCCAGACUCCUACGGGAGGCAGCAGUUAGGAAUCUUGGACAAUGGGCGCAAGCCUGAUCCAG
Molecule: ribosomal RNA, 397 nt
Filed under: uncultured bacterium
Lineage: Bacteria
Description: bacterial SSU rRNA
Rfam family: Bacterial small subunit ribosomal RNA
Source: RNAcentral